Molecule: long non-coding RNA, 1590 nt
Organism: Mytilus californianus (California mussel)
Lineage: Eukaryota; Metazoa; Mollusca; Bivalvia; Mytilida; Mytilidae
Exons: 3
Source: RefSeq, a predicted model, not a curated record
UUUUAUACGACCGCAAAAAAAUUUUGCGGUCGUAUAUUGGUAUGACGUUGGCAUCGUCAUCGUCGUCAUCCGAAGACACAUUAGUUUUCGCACUCUAACUUUAGUUUAAGUGAAUGGAUCUCUAUGAUGUUUUACCAUAAGGUUCAAUACCACAAAAGGAAGGUUGGGAUUGAUUUUGGGGGUUAUGGUACCAACUGUUAAGGAAUUAGGGGCCCAAAAGGGGCCAAAAAUAAGCAUUUUUGUAACUUCAGACAUAACUUGUGUGUUAGUGUAUGGAUCUCUCUGAUCUUGUACCACAAGGUUCCAUAUCACACAGGGAAUGCUGGGAUUGAUUUUAGGGGGUAAUUGCCUCAAAAUAUUAGGAAUUAGGGGCCAAAAAAGGGGCAAAAAACAAGCAUUUUUCUAGUUUCAUGACAAUAACUUGUGUGUAAGUGUAUGGAUCUUUCUGAAAUUGUACUACAAGGUUCCAUAUCACAAAGGGAAAGCUGGAAUUGAGUUUGGGGGUAAUUGCCCAAAACGUUUAGGAAUAAGGGGCCAAAAAGGGGCAAAAAAUAAGCAUUUUUUUAGUUUCCAGACAAUAACUUGUGUUCAAGUGUAUGGAUCUCUUUGAAAUUGUACCACAAGGUUCCAUAUCACACAAGAAAUGCUGGGAUUGAUUUUGGGGGUAGUUGCCUCAAAAUAUUAGGAAUAAGGGGCCAAAAAAGGGGCAAAAAACAAGCAUUUUUCUAGUUUCAUGAUAAUAACUUGUGUAUAAGUGCAUGGAUCUUUCUGAAAUUGUACUACAAGGUUCCAUAUCACAAAGGGAAAGCUGGAAUUGAGUUUGGGGGUAAUUGCCCAAAAUGUUUAGGAAUAAGGGGCCAAAAAGGGGCAAAAAAUAAGCAUUUUUCUAGUUUCCAGCCAAUAACUUGUGUUCAAGUGUAUGGAUCGCUCUGAAAUUGUACUGCAAGGUACCAUACCACAAAGGGAAGGCUGGGAUUGAGUUUUGGGGUGAUGAAUCAUAAGGGGGUUCAAAAAAUUUGGGGGGGGGGGGUUCCUUUUUUUUCUUUUUUAUACGACCGCAAAAAAAAUUUUGUGGUCGUAUAUUGGUAUGACGUUGGCGUCGUCGUCGUCGUCGUCGUCAGGCGUCGUCCGAAGACACAUUGGUUUUCGCACUCUAACUUUAGUUUAAGUGAAUGGAUCUCUAUGAAAUUUUACCACAAGGUUCAAUACCACAAAAGGAAGGUUGGGAUUGAUUUUGGGGGUUAUGGAACCAACAGUAAAGGAAUUAGGGGCCAAAAAUAAGCAUUUUUGUAACUUCCAGACAUAACUUGUGUGUUAGUGUAUGGAUCUGUCUGACAUUGUACCACAAGGUUCCAUAUCACAAAGGGAAUGCUGGGAUUGAUUUUGGGGGUAAUUGCCUCAAAAUUUUAGGAAUUAGGGGCCAAAAAAGGGGGAAAACAAGCAUUUUUCUAGUUUCAGGACAAUAACUUGUGUGUAAGUGUAUGGAUCUUUCUGAAAUUGUACUACAAGGUACCAUACUACAAAGGGAAGGCUGGGAUUGAUUUUGGGGGUAAUUGCCUCAAAAUUUUAGGAAUUAGGGGCCAAAAAGGG